This is a long non-coding RNA of Chelonia mydas (Green sea turtle), 1332 nucleotides long. RefSeq lists it as uncharacterized. Lineage: Eukaryota; Metazoa; Chordata; Testudines; Cheloniidae. The record is from RefSeq and is a predicted model, not a curated record. The transcript has 3 exons.
CUUUUGCCCCUGUAACGCUGGCGGGUGCGCUGGCUGCCCGGCGAGCUCGGGAGCUGCUGGAAACCAGCACAAAACCUGGGUGCCACCAGCAAGCAACAGCAGCUGCAGAUGCAGUGAUGCCUAAAAUGUGGCAUGAAAACUCAAGAGAUAUAGCAGAGAUAUCCAGUGAAAGCACAAGGAGCACCUAAGGAUCUCUGAUCAGAGCCCCAUCAUGCUGUGCACCGUACAAAGACUGUUCAUAAUCUAAGAUUUAGAUACAAAGGAAUAGGUGAAUAAAUAAACCAAUGGGAGAGGGAGGGAAGACAAAGUUACAGCAUAAACAUGAUCAAAUACUCAACACAGUGGUCUUAGGAGUCACAACAUGGCGGGGAGGGGGGGAAGCCUGGUCACUUCGACUCGUCUCCAUUGGAAUUGUGUAGCUCAGACACUGCACACUUGCUUAAAAGAUGGUCCCUGAAUGUUUCUGAAAUCCUCCAUUCUCCCUCUGUUUCAUACACCACAUAAGUUGGCUCCAUUAUUAAGCCUUUUUGCUGUUGUCAAACACUUACUGGCCUCUCUCAAUCAAAUCAGUAUAAUUACUUCCAUGGCUGUGCAAUUCGCAGAACAGUGUUCACUCAUUAACUGUCAAAGUGGUCAUUGAUUGUCGUUCCUUUGAGUUAUUCAUUGCUGAAAAGAUCAUGCAUGACUCUUACACAUCUUAUCGAGACAGUCGGGUUGCUCAUAAGACAUGUAAUAGACAUGCACAAUCUACUGUUUGUCUCCUUUAUAUCUGCAAAUUAAAAACCAAAACAGCACUGCCACAGUAGGGUUAAUGGUCUGACUUUACACCUGCUCUGCAGAAAUAAGGAAAUGAAGGGGUCUGGUCUAUACAAAAAAAUUGUACUUGUGAAACUAAAUUGGUUUCUAAAUUGAUUUAGUUAUAUUGGUGCAGCCCCCUUGGUUUAAUAGUGGUUAAUAUUGAUUUAGCUUAAUUUGGUUUGCUACUGCUUUAAGUCAAUAUCCAUAAUUUACACCCUCGAAGUCCCAUUACACUGCCAGAACAGUGUACUAGGGUCUCAUUGUAAAUGACAAUCAGACCCUUAGAAUUCAAAUCAUAUUAAAUAAAUAAAUAAAUAAAUAACACAUCUUGGCACCAGCCAGAUGUGUGCCAAACACAAGGAAACCAAUUCGCAUAUAGUUCUGUUCUGGUGAUUUUGUUUUAGUCUCUUGUACUCCUGGAAGCCCCAUGUUAAAAUUUUGCUAUCAUAUUGGAUGCACGAAGUCUCAUGUAUUUACCAGGAAUGUACUCGGGGAGGAUACCUCCAAGAUCCACUUGCCGUUUCCACAAACACU